AGGAUGAACGCUGGCGGUAUGCUUUACACAUGCAAGUCGUACGCAAGUUUACUUGAGUGGCGGACGGGUGAGUAACACGUGAGAAUUCACCUUUAGGUGGGGAAUAACUUUUGGAAACGAUAGCUAAUGCCCCAUAGACUCGCAAGAGAAAAAAAGAGUAAUCUGCCUAAAGAGAAGCUCGCGGCUGAUUAGCUAGUUGGUAAGGUAAUGGCUUACCAAGGCGACGAUCAGUAGCUGGUUUGAGAGAACGAUCAGCCACACUGGAACUGAGACACGGUCCAGACUCCUACGGGAGGCAGCAGUGGGAAUUUUCCGCAAUGGGCGAAAGCCUGACGGAGCAAUACCGCGUGAGGGAUGAAGGCCUUUGGGUUGUAAACCUCUUUUAUCAAGGAGGAGUUCUGACGUGUACUUGAUGAAUAAGCAUCGGCUAACUCCGCGCCAGCAGGCCGC
This 450-nucleotide ribosomal RNA is filed under the name uncultured bacterium. RNAcentral's name for it is "SSU rRNA". It matches the Rfam family "Bacterial small subunit ribosomal RNA", at positions 26 to 518 of the family's 1533-position model. The record is from RNAcentral.